UACGAAGGGUGCAAGCGUUACUCGGAAUUACUGGGCGUAAAGCGCGCGCAGGCGGUCUUCCAAGUCAGUGGUGAAAGCCUGGAGCUCAACUCCAGAACUGCCAUUGAAACUGUUAGACUUGAGUACGAGAGAGGUGAGUGGAAUUCCCAGUGUAGAGGUGAAAUUCGUAGAUAUUGGGAAGAACACCGGUGGCGAAGGCGGCUCACUGGCUCGUAACUGACGCUCAGGCGCGACAGCGUGGGGAUCAAACAGG
Molecule: ribosomal RNA, 253 nt
Filed under: uncultured bacterium
Lineage: Bacteria
Description: partial 16S ribosomal RNA
Rfam family: Bacterial small subunit ribosomal RNA
Source: RNAcentral